Molecule: non-coding RNA, 545 nt
Organism: Notechis scutatus (mainland tiger snake)
Lineage: Eukaryota; Metazoa; Chordata; Lepidosauria; Squamata; Elapidae
Source: RefSeq, a predicted model, not a curated record
GCUGCUGUUAGCUGAAUGAAGUGACUGAAGGCCAAAGACGCCUUUCCAAAAAUAGCCUUUUUCCAAAAGCAAAUGCUCUUGCUCAGAUAACUGGUGGGCUUCCAGAUAUUGGUGAAUUGCCACAUUCAAUAUUACAUCACUGGGGUUGUGGUUGGAUUUUUUCCAGCUGUGUUGUUCCAGUCCUUUUAUCAGAGAUGGUCGUCAGAUGAGGAGAUUAUUUCAAUAUAAAAACCUAUCAUAGUAUAUUUUAUGAAAAUAUAAAUUAGUUAUGCUGAGCAGAAAAAAAAUGGAAGUUUGAAAGAGAAUUCAAUCUCUUUCAAAAAAAAUAAAUCCAAAUGGCACAAAGCCAGCCUAUCUGUGGGACUGCCUUUCCCUAAGAAUAUCUACUUGCCCUACCAGGUUAGACAUAUCAAUUCAAGUUAAACUAUAUACUCACAUGGAUAUACUGUAUGUGUAACUUUUUAUGUUGCUAACAGACAACAGUAUAUUUGGAUAACCUAAUAUCUAGUAAUUGCAGCCCUGGAGCAGAAAAAAAAAAUUAGAUA